AGUCAAUUGAAACACUUUAUGUGGAAACUCAGGAAAUUUUACUGGCAAAAUUAUUUCAACAUUUACAGGUCUGAACUUUUGACUUUGGAUGUCAGCCCAACUGAAUGUUUAGGGACCGAGAAUAAUGAUUAAUUACCAUUUCUCCAAAGAGGCUGAAGUGUUGAGGAGAGAUGAAACAAGGCUCUUUUAAAAUUUAACACAUUUACUCGAAGAUUAGAUGAGGGGAUAAAUAAUAUAUAACAAAAGCGGUAACUGAGACCGCUCCGUGAUAUGGGAGGAGCAAACGGUGCUGGGUUGCUUCUGCAUCAGAGUUAGCUGCUGUCUUUGGGCUCAGGUAAGAACAGUUAAAACAAUUUUGUUGAUAGCCCACUGUUCACCAGGCAAUUGCUAACAGAUUUAUGUAUGUCGUAUCCUUUGGUUCUUACUAUAAACCCAUGGGUAGAUAUUAUUAUAACUGGCAUUCUAACCCUGUGGAAAUUAUGGCUCAUAGAGGUAAAUACACUUGCCCAAGGUUACCUGGCUAUUAAUCGACAACCCCAGAAUUCCAAGCCUUGAGCCUCUGACUUUGAAGCUAAUAUUUUUAACUAUUCCUACUCCUCCCAUAUGUUUUAUGGUAGUUGGGAGAAAUGUAGGCUCAUUGCUUGUAGCAAACCUCAAACACCUGAUCCAAGAGGCUGAAAGGUGAGUGUGGAUGUCCACUCCUCUGGGUCAGUGAAACUGCUUCUCUGGUCAUUGUCAGCCCUUUGCCAACACCCCACAGGCACAGUUUAAGGCUGACAUCUUGAACUUGGCCAGGUGCAGUGGACAGAGGGGACCUGGCUCUGGAUGUGAAACCCAGAGAGAGACUGUGGCUGCUUGGCCAACUGUCUCUCUGCCUGUGUGCUGUGGUCUUCCGACUCAGAUGGAUUAAGUCUGCAGCCAGAAGUACUUCUCAGCCUCUGGUAUUUCUUAAUUCAGUGGAGUAUUUCACAAGCAUCAGAGUUAGAGGCAGAAUCAACAUGUCUCAGAAUCAAUCCCCUCCUUCAGACGCUCCUGCCUGGUUUGUUGACUUGAGGCUUCUGUGGAUUAAGCACUGUUGCAGAGUUCUGGAAAUUGUUUUUUUCAUUCUGUUUUCCCCGCUCUCUCUGCCCUUCGAAUUCGUCCAUCAUACCCUUGAAGGUCCUUCUUGUUGGCUUCCUCCUUUUAUGGCCUUCUUUUCUGGCAACCUGAGAAAUGGUGUGGAGUGAUUUUGUUGGCACCAUCUCAACACCCAGAGCCCUGAACGGAUUUCUUCAUGGCUUCUUGAGUAGAGAUGUGCUGGAAAUGCUAAAUAUACCACACAGUAUUUGGGCUUCCCAUGUACAAACUUCAAACCAGCAGUCCCCGAGCUCUUGUGGUUCACACUGGUACCCAGGCCUGAAUACAAAUCAGACCACCAUGUUCUUCAAAAGGUGUCAGCAUUCAUGAAAGUUGAAUAUGAGUGAGCUACUCUUAUUUUUAUAAUUUCAUUUAAAUAAUAUAAUUUAUUAUCAUAAAUUUACAUGUUACUCUACUGCAAAUUAAGCUAUACCAGGCUUAGCUCCAAGCACAAAGUAUACCCCUUAUGAAUAUUAUUCUUUUCACAGAGACUCCUAGGAAGGACAUAGAUUAUAUUUAAAUAUUUUAAGAAGUCAUUUAUUUUCAGUGAAUUCAGGGACUUACACUGUGAUUGUUUGUCCGGCCUUUCCCCAAACCUGCAGAGCAGGCCAUGUUGAGCUAGUUGGGUGCAACUUCUUCAUUUCUUUGCCACAUCUUUGUUGAGGGCUUCCAGUUGCAGGUCCUGCAGCGUGUCCAAGCAGUGGGGGGAGUAGAAGUGGACUCAGAGCAGUGCCUUCACAGUGGCGUGUCCCAUCUGCUGCGUAGACCAGGUGUGCAGAUGUAAGACCAUUCAGCACAGGACACGAGGGAUAGGUCCUCUCACAGCAUGACUGAUGUGACCCGGAGGAGAGAUGGAUGCCUGAAACCCAUCAGAGCCUGCUGACACUGCUGGCUGCUCUGGGACCACCCGUCUCAGGCCACCAGCCAGGAGCCACCUCCUUCCUCUUCCUUAGAGCCGGGUGCCAACACCCAGAGGGCCACAAGAGGGUGCUUUCCUCCUUCCAGGUUAUAGCAGCUCCUUCCACUUCAUGGAACUGUGUUUCCUGGGCCCUGGGAAAUUCAGGGGUGGGCAGAGGGACGCCAUGCGAGGUGAGGGAGAGUGUGAGCAGUGUGUAUUUCUAUUUUUGUCUGUAUUUAUGGAAUCUCUCCUCCACUGAACUGCAAGCUCUGGGACGGGAUCUUGCCUUUUGACUGGCUUACUGUCUGGCACCCCAGAGUUCCUAAAUAAAUACUCCUGAGUUCAAAGAACCCAUCUGGACUUCAAGUCCUCAGUCAGAGGCCUUCAGGUUGUCUGACCAUCAGAUCCACCCAGGGCCAGCCUGCCCUGACAUUCUCCUUCAGUAGUGGGGCCGAAAUGUGCUUUGGAAAGCUCUUACAUUACUCUGACUCGAGGGCUGCAGACCGGCUCUUCCUGCCCCGCACAUGGCUGCCUGGCUUCCCUCCCCGGGCCCCCAGCUGCUGGUGUGUGGGGAGCACAUGCCCGCUCCUGGGCCUGCCGUGGAGGUCCCUUCAGCCUGAGCGGCCUGCUUCCCCAUCCUCCCCCUCUUCUCAUGGGCAUCCCCUCCCGUCAUCCAGGCCCACAGAGGAAGGGAAGUCCCCAGAGUCACCUUCAUGGGCGGAGGAGUGGGGGCACCUGGGAAGACCCAUGCAGCAUAACAAUGAUAUCUUGGUUUCCACCCCAGGGGCUGCCCCUUCUGCAGGUGGCACACAGGGGCCACCUCUUCUGUUACACUGAACUGAAUACUUAGACGAACAUGGGUGCGACAGUGGAGAGCCCCCCAAGGUUGGGGCAGGGUUUCUCUUAACAACUGAGACCAGUAAAUCUGUUUUCCAGAUUUCCAGCAGGAAACUCAAGGGUAUUGUGAUGGUUAUGGAGGAGAGUAACACUCGAUAAAGAAGGGUCCUUUUAGGCUGGGCAUGUUGCUCAGGGGCAGAGCACUUGCCUAGCAAGUGGGUUUGAUCCCAACACCCCAAAAGGAAGGGUCCUUUUGUUUUGGGGCUUGGCAGUGCUAGUGUAGGCACACAAAGAGCUGGGGCCUUGGGGCGAGUGUCUCUGUAUAGAGCCCGGGUGAGUGUGCCUCACCGGGGUGUCUGUGGACGGGUCAGCUAACAGCGUCAGUUCCAUGAAGUCUUUUCUCAUUGACCAGGCUGGAGAUUAGUACCUGUUCACAGGGUCACAUGCAGAGUUGGUUUUAGUUAGUUACAAAGUUGUCAGUUUAUGUUCAGUAUCAAUAGAAGAAACAGCUUUUGAAACUUGCAUUUGAAACUCUGUUUUAGGAUGUGGUAGAGGAAGUUAUUUUCUCUCCAUUGGAAAGAUUCUGGCUUGAUUUUUCUGAUGGACGUGGUGGUCUGUGUGACUCACUGCUGGUCCAUGGGCAUCGACUGUGGGCGUCACCGUGAUGGCCACCCUGGCCUCACCUUGGCUCUGUUUAUAUUCUUGCUUUUUAAAAAAACUUUCCUCUCACUUUUUAUUCAUGUUUUGUGCAGUAAGUAUUUGUGUCAGUUGUGUUUUCAAUCUUUCCGAGAUGAUGAAUAAAUUCUGAGACAAUAAAAUUUGAAAGAUGCAUUUUUCUUAAAUAAACAAGCAAGCAUGCCGAAUGCAGUUCUCACAGGGCUGGCUGGUUGGGAGCUGGCCCAUAACAGAAACGUCAGCUUUAUGUAAGGGUCUCUUUCUCCUCUGUGAGUUUGAGUGGAGACUCACAGGGCCGUAUUAGAAGGGUGUGGUAAAGGGAUUCUCACCACCGAAGCCCUGAAAGGUGCUCCUGCGUUAGGUAGCAACCAGGUACAAUUUUAAAACAAGCUGCGGGCCCACAAGGUUCAAUUUCUGCAUGGAAUCGUCUAUCGACAAGCCCAGCCUCGACCCAAAAUAAUCGAACAGGUAUUCCAGUCUUUGUAUGAGUUUCUCAAAGCAGUCAAGGGGGACUGGCUCUUUGCCAGCCACACAUUGUGAAAUCUUGGUUCCUCGCCUUUUGAAUCCCCUUCCACUAUGGCUUCUGUCACGCUGUGGCUCUGGGUGGUGCCUCUGCCUGGGCUGCUUUGGUCAGAGGCCCGUUUUCUCACACCUCUCUGGAUUUCCUUCUCACGACCCAUUCUCUGAUUCUCUAUCAUAAAAGAUUUAUGAAGUAGGCUGACAAAGACGAUUCUUCUGCUGUGGGUGGGUUGGGAAUUCUCAGAUGCUAAUAAAUCUCUGUCAUCUGGGAAAUAAAAAGAGGGAUGAACGUGGUAGAAAACCCUGGAAUGCGGCCUUGCCUCAGGAGUAAGUGCGGGCUGCAGCGCCUGAAGGGGGCAGUUGAGGCAGAGGUUCCAGAGCUGGCCUCUUCUGCUCCUGUCUGUAACCACACUUCCCUGGCUCCAGGGCAAGGGACUUCAUGGCCUCAGCCUGGAGGUAGAGUCGCAACGCCCUCCUACUGGACCAGGCUGAAGGUGUAGGUGCCGAUCGGGGGACAUCUGGGGGGAGCAAAGGAGCCAUGCUGCCCUUGGUCUCCGUGAAGUGCUGGAGUGGCCGCAGAACCACACCACCCUCUUCAGUGUGGAGCAAGGAGGGAAAGAGUCCAAUUCAUUACACCCAAUUUCCUGCUGGAAAGUGGAGGUUUCCAUUCACAAAGUGAGUUAUUUUCUUGCUCCAAGAAAUCCAGUAAGUAAUAUGUUUAUUUACUGCAAACCCAUAUGCUUAUAUAUGGUACACCAACUUCUGGUCCCUGAUCAAGCCUCCUGUGUAAGGAUCACAGUUGAAGGGAAUCAGAAAUAGGUAGAGGCUAGGACAGAAGAUUGAGCCACAGAAAUAUUGACCCAGUACCACAGGGUUAAUUGAUAGGAUCAUUCGAAUUGAACUUAUGGAUUUUCCUUCUCACUUUAUAUUCUUUUCUUCAGUGAAUAUUUAUUGAGUGCCUGCUAUUUGUGAGUUCUGCUAAGUGCUAAGAACAUUAAGAUGAUAAGGCACUGGCCUCUGCCACCCAGGAACUGUGUCAUAGAUAGUAAGGGACACGGGAGAGUACAGAGGAUAAUUAAAUCACAACACACACAAGGCCACAGUUGGGGUAAACCAGAAAGUGGUGGGAACCCAGAAGAGGGAGGAACUCCUGUGACCUCCAAGGGUCACGGAGGGGAGCCCUGGGGCCAGGAUUAUGCGUAAGAAAGAGUUUGCUCUUUUGCCGGGGUUACAUUUACUAGGUUUUAGUUUGAUCACUCUGUUUCACAAAUAUUAGAAACCAUCUUCUGGCCAAAUAUGGUCUUAGCAUUUGGUCUUUUGGUUCUCCCAAUUAGUGACAGACCACGGUAGCAUCCCUGGAAUGUUCUUCUGAGCUGAAGAAUGUAAAAGAUGUAAUACACAGUCAGAAGCCGAUCACACCCCUGGGGCCUAGCAGACAAGUGCUCUGAUUUGUUAAUAAGUUUAUGGGAGACUCUCACUUGGGCCACCCAGAGUUGCCUUCCUGUGCUGAUAACACCCUUAAAAUAUACACUAGUUUUGGGAAAGAUGAUCAUUCUGAAAUGUUUGUGUCCAAUCUCCAGGUCCAGGCUGAAUGGACAGAUGUCGCUGUCACCAGGGGCCACUGGCAGUGACUUGGAAUGACUUAGCAUGUGGCAGAAGUCCCUCCAAGCAGGAGUGAAUUUGUUGGGAGAGCUUGCAGCCAGGGGCCUUGUUUGAGGGUGCAGCCUGUUCAACACCCGGCGGCACCAGGUCUCUAAGGCUUUCCCUAGCUCCGCAACACAUUUCUUGCCAGUUUUUAGAAAUAAACUCUGAUUUAGAGCUUUGUAUUUCUUCCUUAGUGUUUGUUAUAAAAGUGACCGUUAAAUACAAGGUUUUAGUGACUCAAACAGUUGGAGGCCACAGUUGGGCUGACAGCUUUAGUAGAGUUGUAUUUUCAAUUUUUUUUCCCCCAGCCUGAUUUUGGCUUUAAGUUAGAUUGUAAUAAUCGUAGUAGAGCUCCUCCCUGUCCUUCCUUGAAGCGUUCUUCAGACCCAAGGCCUUUCUAAGAGUAUUUAUGACAGGAAUCCCGUGCCAUUUUAGAGCUUUCCUCUUCUGUGGGGCCCGCAUCUUAUGGGUCUUCAUCUUCUGUAGCACUGCAGGAAGCAUUCUCCAGAAAGAUCUGUGGGGAGGACUCGGCCCCUGUCAUUUGCAUGGAUGUGGCUCUGGUGGGCUAGUUCAGGAUUGGUGUUGGACUCUUGUCAUCUGGGUGUAUUUUCCAGCUUAGUUAUUUGCUAGCUGUGGGGCCCUAGGCACCUCAGUGCACAUUUCCAUGCUACGUUUACCUCAGCUGAAGAGGUAAUGAUGGCAGUGCCCACCUCAAAGGGUGAUUGGAAGGAUCAGCCAGUUAGAAGACUUGAAGCGCCUUGGAGUAGCUCUUUGUAGUGGCAAGUGCUGAACAAAUGUUAGCUGCUGUUAUUAUCUUAUGAGUUCACAAAGGUACGUAGCAUCAUUGAUGAAGCCGAAUGAUCCAGUGGCCAUCAAGUCAUCCCACGGGGUGACUUGGGUCUGUGGGUUGCGCUUGCUUGCCAAUGGUGGGUAGAGGAAAUUAAACGCUAGACCACCCAACUCCAUCGGUGUCAAUGCAGAAUGAUGAUCUUCUCGAGACAGUGGGAGGCAGUGUAGCUCAGGUGCCAAGAGCCUUGGUUUGGAGGAAGUCUGGUGAAAUAGCAGCUCUGCCACUUGCAUGGCCUUUUUGUGUCUCAGUUCUCUCAUCUGUAAAAUGGAGCCAAUUCCCCGUGAGACCGUUCAAAGUACAAUAUAUAUGGAUUUUUGGAACACAUACUGAACACUCAAAAAAUUAUAGAAGGUGAACAGAGGCGGGAUGGAUAGGUGUAGGGUGAGGGCUUUUCAUUUACGGCUUGCUCCCUGGUACAAGGGACAGGGGCAGGGGCUUUCCCAGGGCAGCAGGCAUCCAGCAGAAAAGGGGAACACUCAGUCCUCCUUCACUUUAACAAUGUCAAGAGAAGUUACACAACCCAGGAGCCUAAUGGCAAUUUGCUGUUGUCAGUGUUAUAAACAUACGUGUGAGGGUGGACAGCUUUGUCCAAUGAGUCACUGUGGAGCUGUCCCGUCUCGCCCAGGCGCUAUGCUUGCACAAGAUGGGGUGACAUCAGCUUAGGAAAAGACCUGGUUUUUCUACUUACUGCUGGAAACAGUGGUAGUGGCUGUGCUGUCCCAGGGUUUGUUCACUCUUACAAGGUUCCCAAACUGCAGUGGAUUAAAACUCAGGUGGAAGACUCGUAUGAAGGGCUCCUGCCAUAAGCCUCAUCCCCAGCAGUCCCAGUUUGGCAGGUCCUCUGUGUGGCCAGGGGGGGCUCUGCAUGUGACAGACUCUCCAGCUGCUUCCCACACUGGUACUUAGAAGAUGACGCUUUAAGGACAAAUUCAAUGAGGAUGGCAGAGUAAAAUUCCCCUGAAGAAGUCAACUGUCCCCUGCACUGGCCUUAUCCCUAGCGUGGUGAUUUGCUCCUAAAAAGGCAGGAGCAAAAAAGCCAAUUCUGCUUUAUUUGGAGCCAAGACACUGCUUAAUAACCUGUGUUAAUUGUUUCUCACAACACUGCGUGAGGGACAUGAUAUUCAUUCCAUUUGACAGAAGAGAAGUCGGGACACAAGGGAGAGUUCUUUAGGGGUGCCGUGUGGUUUGGUGCAAGCAUGAGUUAUGGGCAGACAUUACACAGGUCCUUCAAUUUGUCCCCAGCCAUCUGGGUAUUGCUAAACACAUCUGUUCCUUCUCCUGGAGAGGAUGCUCCAGUGUCACCAGAUGAUUUAAAUUACGUCAAGAGAGGGGCUCCAUUUGUCCACUUCUCUGGUUUGCAGGGAUGCUCAGGGGAUCCUUGGUUUCUGUGAGUGGCAUUCAUUCAGGGCUUGGGUUUUUAAUUCUGAAUUUUGAUUUGCAUUUGCCUGGGGUGUUAUUCUGCCAGGGCCUUCCCAGUCUGUUCUCUGCUGCUUUGCUCCUGAAGCUUUACAGCUAAUGGAGGGAUAAAGAAAGGUCACGGCAAGAGGCGGCAGCAUGUGCUCGUGACUCACUGGCGGGCCUGGUGCGGAGCCAGUUUGGGUGGGACGCUUGCUCGACUGGCUGCUGGGCCUGCUUUCAUGUGGCUCUCAGCCACGGCCCUGCAGGAAGCAGUUUCUCGCCUGUUCCUGGGCAGAGGGAAGGCCUGAUAUUCUACCUGUCCCCUGCUGUUGUAGACUCGGGUCAGUGCAAUGGAGCCUGUUGGCCCUUUGAGGAAGAAUCCAACAGUCAGGUGCUUGGCAGCUCAGGAGACUAUGGCUAAGCCAGACCUGGGAGGAGCUGGGUUUAGAGACCAGUCACAGCUACUGCAGCCAUGAGGGGUGCAUUAGCAUCAGGGCCUGAAGGAGGUCACAUGGGGCUGCACUGGCAGGGCACAGUCUAUCUCUCUCUGUUGGCAUUUGAGACCCAGGGAUUGACUGCUGUGCUAUUAGCAGCAUCCCUGGCCUCUGCCCGCUGGAGGUCAGUAGUCUCCCCACCCUGCUCAGUCCAUGCCACCAGCACAAUCAGCUCUGGUGGAGACCACUGUGGUGUGGGUGGGUCCCAGGCAUGUGGCUGUCCAGGAUUAAGGAGAUCCAUGCUCCAUUCUGACUUCCUCGUCAUCAUAGCUAGAGUUUACUGAGUACUCACCGUGUGGUGGGUACUCUAUAUUUUGCAUUCAUUCUCCUAUUCAAAUACACAACACUCAGCCACAGAAACUCUUAUUGCUCCCAUUGUAUGGAUAAGAAAACAGAGGUUCACAAAAGUUCCUUACCUAUGUCACACAGCUUGGGGCUUGAGCCUGAGCAGGAGGCACCCCCUCCUCACCCUGUGGCCCUGUGGAGUGGAGCUCUCGUCAGGAAUCUUGCAGAAGGGCCGAGGUGCAGCAUAGUGGCCACCAGCUGAGCCGGAGGUGAGCCCUUCCCUUCAGGACUGGGGUCCAGGAGUCUAAGGACAAGCCCUGUGGAGGUGGUUAGGGUCGCAGAUGCACUGAUACCAGGCAGAGGAUUCAGACGAGAUGCACCUUGCAGGGUGGUCAAAGGUAGACCUUACCUAGGCUACCUGUUCCUGACCCCUGAACCCUGAGACACGACCCCUGAUGUGAGCCCAGAUGUGCCUUCUUCACUUCAAAUGCAGCCCUUGUGACCGGUCCCCACCCACUCGGUUACUCCUGGAGGACCAGCCCUUCUGUGGCAGUGUUCCUGCUGCUUCUGCUGAUGUCCUGCUGCCUGGGGCCAGGGGCAUGCCUGAGCUCGGAGUGGACGCUGAGAUGACUGGACAACAUGGUUUGCUGACCACCUCUUACACAUGACGUGGUCUCCAGUGUGUGCGGGAACUGACAAUUCUGCACUGAGCGCCUGUGGGCAGAGCUGACCCUGGGAAUGCGUAUCCAGCAAUAACUGCAUUUUUCAAAGAAAGGGUCAGGUUCCUCAUGUGUAGUUUCCUCAGUUAACAAGGGCAGCAGGCAGAGGCCAGGAAGAGGCUACCUGAAAACCAAAUGACAAUCUCUAGCAGGUCUUCUUUCCCCUUAGUGGGGCAGGAGGGAUUGCAUCUUGGAAUGCAUGGUUACUUUGUAGUCUGGCUGUCAUCUGGAUCCAAAUGGACUUGAAUUUGAAAAGUGGCAUGAAUAGCCAACAUUAGCUUUGAUUAUUCGGACUUCUUUUUCCAUAUUCAAUUCAUUAGCAAUUCAAUCCACGUGCAGUGUGAAAACUGGGAGUUACUUGGCAAAAAAAGAAAAAUUUCACCUGAAUUGUGAAGGGCCUGCUUGGGUCCUGCAAUGAUCUGGGGGGAGGAGGGGUCCUGCUGCUCACAUGCCUGAUAGUCACUGAAGUCCCAUUGAGCUCCUCAGGGUGACAUUUUACCCAGCAGUCACCACGCAGGAUUAUUAUGUAUUUCCAAAAGUCUGUGACGCUGUCUCUAUGGUUCCCUCGCGCCCUCUCUGGGGGUCUGCCCUUUCUUGAGGAUAUAGUGGUUGAUUCUUGUUGGUUCAAUGACUGGCCAUUUGAACAUCAGAACACAGCAGGGCUUCUCACGGGGAUUUUUUUGCUUUUGCUUGCUCUGCUUUUACCUUUACCUUAUUUUACUUUCAAUAUUACAAAAUAAUAUGUGCUUACUGAAGGCAAGUUAGACAAUGCAAAUAUACAGCAAAGGAAAGAAAAGGAAAAAAAUCACCUGUACUCUCACAACCCAGAUGGAGCCUCUGUUAGCACUUGGACUGUGUCCUUGUGUUUUUGUUUUGCUUUUAACAAAAAGGGGGAUCAAGGAAAUCGUCAGAGGCACGUGGCGUUUUCUUAGUAGAAUUUUCAAAAUGAUGCUUUAAGAAAAUCUCUUUAUUCUUUGGUAAACAGGAGUCAUCGUUGACGAUUCUCAAUGAUAUACUUGGUUUGGGAAACCUAGUAAGAAAUGCCCUAUUUCCUCCUUGCUGAGAAAGGGUAUAUCCAGAAGAGAGUGUGCAUGCACGCGUGUGUGUGUAUGUCUGUGUGUGUGUCUGUGCGUGUGUCUGUGUGUGCGUCCUGCGAGCCAGCAUAUGUAAAUGGACUCUCUGUGUCUCCUGAAAAAGAAAUUCUGUUGCUGGAUCUGCUGACUCACUGCCAAGCUCUGCUGCAAGCAGGGAGCAGAUUCUAAGUUAUUCGAGCCAAACAUUUGGCCCUCCUGGUUUAUUGGCUACUGUGACAGACUUCUCCUCACACCUCACCUCCUCGCUGGCGCGUGGACAUAUCAAGAAUUUUGUUCAUUUUGCCUCCUGAUCUCCUCCUGUUUCUUUCCAUUACUCGAUGACAAUUAAUCCCAGUACCAGCCCAGCUCCCUGAUGCACAAUGUCAGCAACAGCCAGAGGCUUCCUUCCUGAGGUCACUGCAGGAAUCCAGGUCUCCUCUAAGACCUGGCUCCUGAGCUCUGGGGAGGGACCCUGGGAGGGAGUGCCUUCAGCCCUCAUUGGUCACAGGCACAACAGCUCCCUGUUGCCUUUCCAUGCCCAAGGUAAGAGCAGCACAUUCAACUAAACUGGAGCUCUGUCACACCCUGGGGGAACAAGUGAGGGGUGCCAGCCAAGGAAGAGGAACUGUGCUAUCAUGGAGAAUUCCUCGCCAUCCAGGUAAAAGAUGAUUCAGCACAGACAGGUGUGACCAGGAACACCAUCGCAGAGAAGAUGCAUCGCAGGAUGGCAAGUCCAAACAAACAAAAAAAAAAAAAAAAAGAAAAGAAAAGAAAAGAAAGAAGUGUUUAAUUCUAAUUGGCAAAACCUAGGCACAGGAAGACACUGGAGGCAGCCUGCAAGGGCUUUGCAGGAAGAACUCCUAUUCCAGCUCUCUGGUAUUUCCCGUGUCUGCAUCCAGUGUUUGGGAUAUGCCAUUUGAAAAGUCUGUAAAGGAUCCUAAGUUUAAAAAGACCAAGGAUUGUUAGACAUGUGAUCACAUGGUCACCCUACGAUAGCCCCCUUUUUAGUAGAAUUUUCAAAAUGAUGCUUUAAGAAGAUCUUUUGAUUCCUUGGCAAACAGGCCUUGAUAAUUCCCAGUGAUGUACAUGAUUUUGGAAAUCUAGUAAGAAAGAAUGAUCAAUCUCUCCUGCUUCACAGAGGUGAAAACAGAGAAGACUUUAAGAAGCCUACCCAGGGUCAUAGCUGGUAAGCUGCAGAGGCCGACUAUGGGCCAGGAAAAUGUUGAGGCCUUGGGGAUCUUAUUCUCUGCUCUGCGUCCUCUUGCAAUGAAAGUGGUCAUAGUUCUCCGACUUAUCGCCAGAACUCUGCUAAUAAUUGGUUGCCUUAUAUCAGACAAGUCAUGUUACCUUUCUGGGUUUCAAUUUUAUCAUUUAGGGAAAAAUUUCUAUAAUCCUAUAGAUGUGUUUAUGCCAUUCCCUACCCACUCCUACAAAUCUUGGAAUCUUGGAUUCUGGAUAGAGAAUCACAAUUUGCUUCAAAGGAAACCCAGGCUGGAUUUUGCAUUAGUUCUUCUUUUGGACUUGACUUCACUUUCUCUGCAGGAGAGUGUUGCAGGGUCUCUUCUAUAAGCAGAGGCAACUCCCCUGGGGCAGCUGAUUCCAUUGGGUAAGUCCUACUUAAUGAUAACAUGAAUUUCAUUGUGGCCAAUCUUCCCACGAAAGAUUUAAGAGGCGACAAUUCAGGGAAGAGGAGACAUUCUUCAAUUAGGAAAAGUACCAUUCCACAUUUCCAGGAAAAAAAAUUGAUCCACAGAGGAGGGACAUGUUUAAAAGGACACAAAAUAAGGUUUGGAGGACUCAGCACCAAAUUGGCCGAGGGAAACACCCUUUUCAACCGAGGGCCACAGGUUCCCAUCAAGUCAUUUGGCCAGUAGUCUUCUGUUUCCCUGGUGGGGCUGCCAUGGUAAGACCCGAAGAACCACCUGUAACCCUCGGCAAAGAUACCUCCUGGUGAUCUCCUGCAACCUUGGGAGGCGAGGUGUCUCGGCAUGUCCCCUGUCAGUUUGCUGGAGUCCUGUGUCCCUGCCCCCUGUGGAGGGAGCUGUCACUUUCUGACCACCUUGGAGGCCCAGCCUGAUCCAGCCAGCACUCGGGGCGUGCAGAACUACUUCAGGCAGGAAGGCCACCUGGCCCGAGCAGCACAGCCUUCCAUAGCUUGUCUUGUCCAUGACAGGCUGUACUGAGGCUGGGCUCCAGGACACCAUUUACAUCGGGGAUGGAGUGCUGUGGCGACAGUGCUGACUCGUCAUCCUUAGAGCCACUUUGUAAAGCCAGUUCCCUUCUGGGUGUUGCCAUGAACUUGGGAACAACUUUCUAAUUCUUUAUCGCUCAGGGCAGAAUGCAUCCUUUCCCGCUGACCCCACGGAGAGGUAAACAUUACCCAGGGCCACAUGUUCUGGUCUUGGGAAAGAAACAUCAGAGCCUCAAUUUCCUCUCUCGUUCUUUGUUUUCUGCUGUUUGCUCCUUUCAUCCCGCAACUCACUCUCACACCUUUAUGGGGGUCUCCAAGGUUCCACUUUCAUUAAAUGAGGUCAUUCAUUCCAUAAAUUUUAAUUUAAAUGUCUCUUCUGGGCCAGGCAACGUGCCUAGGAAGAGAGCAGAUCUCUGCCCUGACAUUGGAGAAGCCGAGCACAGAUAUGGUGCUGACGCAGAGGGACAGGGAUGAUGCCAGAGGGGAGAUGGGAGUCAGAUUGCAAAAAGUCCCCCACGACACACAGAGAAGACUAGAUUUGAUGUUAUGAACAGUCGGAGUGUCAUGGAAGAUAUAUAGGUAUUUGUUUUUCCACACAAAAACCACAGAUGCACAUAUUCACGUGAGAGGCGAGUCCUUGAUAAAGUUAAGUUAGUAGCUCUACACGAAUGUUUGAUGGGCACCAAUUUUGUGCUGUGCUCUGUGGUGGAUGCUGUGGACAAAGAUGAGCAAAGCCUGGCUCUUGCUUUCUGGGAGGAGACUGAACUACACACAAUGCCUAAUGAUACGGACGUCAAGACCAAUAGAAGUUUCUUCUCCAAGCCAACAGAAGCUUUUAUGCAGGAGGACUGUUCUUAAAAAUUGUAUAAAAAUAGCCCUGCCUUGGUGUGGAGGGUCAACUGGCUAUUGACUGUAAUUUCCAUUCAGGGUCAGUUGCCAUGACUGUCACCGAUUUUGCUGUUUUUGUCGCGUGACAUCACACUUUGGGAAGUUCUACCUAACGGGUUUCUUUCUAGGAUUCCAUAGCCAGCAUCCAUUUGGACAGAUAAAUCAAAAUGAUGCUACCAAGAGAAAAGUCCGCUGGGGCCUGGCCAGGUCUGUUUUACAUAUCAAGAGUUCUUGCCUGUUUCCCAAUGUCCUGGGUAGAUGUGAAUUGUUUGGAGGUUGGCCAACUCAGACUUCUCAGGAAUAAAAAAUGUUCUCAUAAUUAAAAUCUUUCAGGCCCGAGUUACCUUUUGCCAAUAAUUCACUUGUGACUUAUACUUGGAGACAUAGAUAAUAUCAAAUUCCCUGAGUGGGGAGAGGGAGGCAGGGCAGGAAAGCUAGGCUGUGUUGUAAGGAUCAGUUGUCAGAAUAUUGCUGACUUCAUAAGCCACUCCGGCUUUUUUCCAGGCAACGGUUGAUCUAUUUAUAGCCUUGUAAUUCAGUUACCUAUCACUUAGCUUGUGUGUGAGUCACCCGUGAAAUAUAUGCGCAGAGACCGAAUGUACUAAUUACCAAGGCAGAGUGCAGGUGGGAGGCCUCUGUUAAGACCCCUGUUUAACAACAGUGGCAAAUUGUUGGGAAAGGAUCAUUUAUCAUUAAGUGACACUGAGACUCAUGGCAAAGCUCUGGAGCCUGGUUUAGAGGGCUGUCCAGCUCUGUGCUCUCUAGGGUGACUGACAGCGUGUUUGUUUCCUGGAGGGGGUGCUGGGCUGCAGGGUGGGGGUUGUGGUGGGUGGGGAGGAUUUGCCAUCGGGAGGGGGAGUAGCUGUUCGGCUCAUUGAGCUGAGUCAUUUGUGGUAACUUAAUUUUCCUUCAGAAGUGACAUUCUGACAGAGCUGUCAGAAAUGACUUUUUAUUAAUUUAUUUUUUUAGCCUCCACGUUUUUUUCCCCCCCUUCCUGGAAUGAUUUUUUCAUUCCAGACUAUACCUGGUGAAAUCUUGUCCAUCUCUCAAAAAGUCAUUUCAAAAAAUGUCUCCCCCUAAGGAAACUCAGGCCCUCAAUUUUCUUUCAAGCAGACAUUAGCAUAUUAAACCCAAAUUGAAGGUAUUAUAUUUAGGAGUAAGAAAAGCCUCAAGUUCAAACUAAGUGCGCGGUCCUGUUACGGAGGUAUAUCUAAGGUCACCUCACUCAGCAUGCCUAAAGCUUUCUCCUGUGAACUCACAAGUGUGUUCCCACCUAGCAGGAAGCGGGAGGAAUUGGUUCUUCCAGGUCCUCUUCCUAUGCUGGUCCUCAAAUAGCGGCGGGGGGGGGGGGGAAAGAGGCAGAUGUUGGAGAAUUUUUUAAAGCAAAGUAUGUGUUUGAGAGCCAGCUAGGGCCCUGGAAAAUGAAUUUGUUCUGAAUCUAGAUGAAACAUUUUAUCUCUCCAUGUAGCUGUCCGAGUGCUCCAUUUCGGCAAAGGAAACCUACCUUCAACAUGUCUUGGCAGCAAAGAAACUCAACGUCAGAUUAAUUGCUCAAUCACAAACAGGGAGCCACAGCCUCUGAAAGAAGCUCAACAUGAGAUGAUGUUUUCAUGUUCUUGAAAGACCCACUCUACAGCCCCUUUUGGAAGUGGAAUGGCUAAAUAUAUCCUAACAUGAGCAGAGAAGUCCCCCCUUGUCCUUGGACACUGUUGUGGAACUGGAGUCAUCUUGGGUACAGGGAUACUGAAGUCCCUGCAGCCUGUGUUGACCGUGGAGGUUGCCGGGUUGUGGUAUCAGUAGUUCAGAGGCUGUGUUGAACACUGAGAGAGGUCAGAAAUAUGGCCAAUGCCUGACUUCAGUGCUCUCGGAUUGGAAAGACUCAGCCACAUCCAACUAAUCGCCCCUCUGUACCUCCCCAACACAGGCCUUCAUUGUGCGAAGAUUUCAUUUGAGUCUUAAUGGCUGAAAUUGAGAAGUCAUUCAUCAUUCAUUGCAUAUAAGUUCUGAGUGCUGAGGGAGGUGUAAAGAAAGAAGUAAGAUCCAUCUCCACCGGACUGCGAUCUCAUCCAGACUAGCCUGACAUGACCUGCUCUUGGGGAGCUCAUAGGGUCCUAGGGGUUCAUAGCAGUUCUUUCAGAAUCACACUUACAUCAUUUAAAAACAAGUUUUAAAGAAUUUAGGUAAUUCAUGAACAUGGUUUAAAACAUCAAGCAGUGUGGAAGGCUUAUGCUAAAGUGUCAUCACUCUGACCCCUUCUCACUUAUCAGAAGUCCCCAGCCGCAGCCAUUUCUGCUUUUAGUUCUUUUGAAGCAACAUCUUUGUCUCUAAAAAUGUGCUAACUAUGGAGUCUCGAUUCAUAUUGUAGACCCUCUAUAUUGAAGCCUGUCCGUGGUGGAUGAGAAUCAGCUCGUCCACCACUCCACCUCUCUUCUUUUUAAUACAAUUAUAUCACUAUUUUGGUUUUUCUAAUGGUUACUUUUGUAACUCAAAAUAGUGUACUUUCAACUCUCUUUUUCAAUUGGCUAUUGACAUAAUCUCUUGACCAUCUACUUAGAAAGAUAAGGAUAUUGAUAUUCUCAUCUUCCUGCCACUUUUUUUUUAUAUAUAUAACUCCUUUACCUUCUUUUUUUUUAAAUAUUUAUUUAUUUAUUUAUUUAUUAGUUUUCCGCAGACACAACAUCUUUGUUCGUAUGUGGUGCUGAGGAUCGAACCCGGGCCACACGCAUGCCAGGCGAUCGUGCUACCGCUUGAGCCACAUCCCCAGCCCCAACUCCUUCACCUUCUAGCUUCUCUCAGAUCUAAUUUUGCUUUCACAAUGUCAAGGUCGACAAUAUUUACACUCUGUUCUAUAACAUAAUUAUUCUCAAAAGUCAUUUAAAAUGAUCCAUUGUAGGAUUUUCUGAGGACUUCAAGCUCAGUGAAUCAUCAUUUCCGGAAAGAGCCCCUCUUUGAAUAUUGGAGCAAUAUUCUGGCCUCUUUCCUACAGACUGUGGUUCCUCAAAGGUUAUUGAUGAUGGUUCUGAGCUCAAGCCUAGAAAUCCUUUUAUACCUUGCAUUAGAAUGUGUCCGGCUUAGAGUUUUGAGUUAAAAUUGAUUGAUGAUGGUCCUUUACUAUCUUCUUUCCCACUCUUCUUAGCCCUCAUUUUCCUCCUGAAGUUCUUAUCUGGCCACCCUUAAUGGAGAAGAAUGCUGCUGUCUUCUUUACUGUUUUCUACCUUCAAUCCACACUGUUUAUGCUCCCAAAGUGGCCCCCUUCCCUUCUUGACUCAUUUGUCUAAAUAGGACUUCAAACAUUCCACAUCCCACUCCUCUGUUCUUUCUUGUGAAAGAAGACUCAAAUUAAUUGUAUGUUAAUAAUGAAAAACUGGAGUUAGGGUUUUCUAUCUGGGUUUACACCAUGAAAAUAAUACACUAUUAAAAAAAACCUUUUUGAUGUAUUAAGUAGUUUUCUUAACACCAUCUCAUUUAAAACUUGCAACAGUUGAAUUCAGAGAGAUCAAAUAGCUUGAUUAGGUCGCCAUCAAUCUAUUAUAGAGUCAACAAAUCCUUCAGAACUGGGACCCUCUUCUCUUCCACUCAAACAUGCUAUUGACACAAGUUCUCAUCAUCCAGAACUUUUUGUAAGUAACCAAAUCACACUUGCUAUAAUAUAAACCAAUUUCCUUUUGUUUUAUCUUUAGUCGAUUAAAGAAGCCUACUCUAUCACCCUUAAAGGAUUAUUUCAAAAAGGUAGAUUGACCUCAUACAGAGUUAGAAUCAUAGGGCCCUAAGGCGAAAACAUCAAAGACACUGAUAGGUUUCAGAAGAGGCUUAAAUCACGAGAUCCCACUUUUCAAUUCCAAGAAAAAUGUGUGUGUGUGUGUGUGUGGUGUGUGUGUGCACGAGCAUGUGCCUGAGGUGAACAGGAUAGCACAUAGUUAUUCCUUCCUUCAUUUUUAUCCGUCAUGGGAAAUCUUUUCAACCUGAGGUAGAAAACUAUAGUGAAGAAUAUAGAACUGUAAGUCUGGGCACUCAGAAUUAUGCUGAUCCCUGGGAGGAAAUAUAAAAUACACUGUUUCUGCUCUCAGAUCAACCACAUGGCACCUUCUCUCAACCUGGUCCUCAGUGCGAUUCUCUUCCUCGGGCUGACCUGGUGUACGAAUCUGAAAAUUGACUGGACCUCUGACCUGAAGGAAGAACGUUCUGAAAUUAGUACCAGGAUGUGGUCAGGACUCAGCGGGUAUGGUCAGAGUGGCCGACAGGUGGAAAAGCAAUGGAAAGUUCUGGAAGAAGCAGACUUGGGAAGUGGAACCCUAACCUGGGGAUAGGAGAAAAGUACACAAAUUUCUUGAAAUAAAGCAGUCCCCUUUAUCAGGAGACAGCUCAAAUUUGCACCUCUGUUGCCAAAUAAGAACCUGUUCCUUUGAGGACCUGUCCAGCGAGGGAGCCCUCACUCCCCUCAGGCUCCCUGGGCACUGCUCAGGGGAUGAUUCUGUGCUAAGUGGGUCUACAUGUCUUUGAGGAGCUCAGGGUUUCAUGUCACCUGAACUUGGAGCAGGCAGCUGAACUGGGAUCCUUGGGCUUCUCUUAGUAUAGUUUUCCUCUUUGGGAAUGUUUCAGUCCUGGACUGGAAGGAGACUGGGCAGAACCCUGAGGGUUGGAUUUGAUAAAGCUGACUCUUUUCCACAGAGAGAAUGUGAUCUGCCUGAAUACCCAGUUCUCUGGGCCAAAAUCAACAUCUUUACGUCACAACCGGCUUUGUGAAUUCCAGGAAUGAGACUUCAUCAGCUUUUUUGAAAUUAGGAUUUUUGUCCGAUCAUACCGCAAGAAGAAAACAUCAAAACUAUGCAUACUCAGGUAGAGUCACUGUGCGCUGCAUGUCGAUGGAUUCGCUUAUUCUGUUCAGUGCAUAUUUGUCAAAGGCCUGAUACACUAGACAUGGAAGUAAUAAGAAGUAAUAAGGUAUUGCCUCUCUUCUGAGGAGGACUUCAAGAGCUGAGGAGACACCAGAUUGACCACGGAGAGUGUGCCAAGUACUCUGCACGAUUCUCUUUAGAGUUUCAGUACAACUCUGCAGCCAAAGUCUCCAGUGUUGUCCAAUAUGGAGUCUCAACUGGGAUCUUUUUAAAGGACCAAUCUGAUAUGUUGAUUAAGUGUGAAUUUUUUCCUUUAGGUUAGCAUUUCACAGCGUAUGAAUGUCAUUUCACACUGAUAUGAGGAGUCAGUCCCCCAAAAGCUCAUCUGUGAACAAUGUAAGAAUUUUCAGAGGUGAAACAAUCACAUUGAAAGAACUGUAACCUACUCAGGGGACUAACUGGGCACUAAGGGUGGGCAGGUAGGGGUGGCUGGAGGAAGCAGUGUGUCCUGAGCUGCUUUCCUCCGCGUCGCCAUUCUGCCAUGACAUUCUGCGUCACCUCAGGCCCACAGCCAUGGAGUCGGCCAACCAUGGUCUGAACCUCUGAAACGGUGGGCCAAAAUUAACUUUUCCUCCUCUAAGUUGUUCUUGUCAGGUCUUUUGAUCACAGUGACACAACCCCUGUGUCCUAUAUCCCAAAGGGACUAAAAUUGGGUGGCUUGUGUUCUUCACACUGGCUUAGAAGCUACUGAUGCUGAAUAUUGUUAAAUUUGAAAGUGAGAAAAAUUUCAGCUUACAGCUCAAUCAGCCAAUCUUAAUUUCUGCUGGAAGAACUCAAUUCUAAAGAUAUUCUAAAGAUAUAUGUUCUAAAGAUAGAAUAUCCCUUUUUGGAAAAAACGCUACUCUUUAUUAAUUAGCAUAAGUUUUUUAAAGGUGACCAAUCAAUUGUUUUAAGUUUGUUCCUAUUUUACAUAGUUUACUGAGUGAGUAUUUAUUUUGUGAGAUGUGAGAUAUACCCAUUUCUUAUUGGAAGCCCAAAUGAGAAUUCAGUGUGUGUUUGUGGGUGUAUCGUGGUGGUUAGGGUGAGGGCACCCGCAUUUACAGUGCAUCCGUGUAAGUCCUUAUUCAUUAUUAUUCAUAUGAAUAAUAUGAAUAGAAGAGGGAAAACAUUUAUAGAUCACUUAAAACAUUUCACUAGAAGAAAGGGAACAAAUUAGCCCACUUGAAUCACUAGCUUUGCAGAAGAGAAUGAGCAGAAGAUAUAUUUAAUCUUUCAUCAAAGACUUUAUUUGAAAUUACUAAUAUGCAGUUCCACUCAGAACAGUGCUUAAAUGAGUUAUUAGAACGUUUAAACGAGAUCCUCAUUGUUUUUAUUAGCAGUGUUACUCCUUACUCUUUUUGUUAGAAAAACACCCUGCCGUGUGUGCAGAUCUGUUUAAUUACAAUGCUUUUCCAUUUUCCCUCAAAUGUAGUUGACUUAUUUUAUAAAUAUUUCAAGUACAUAAUUGCUAUUUUGCUUUAAUGAAAAUCACAAAUGUAUUUAGAUAAUCUGAGGGGUGAGAAUAUAUGUGCUCCUGGGUCAGGUUUCUGGAAGAGUUAAAGCAGGACUUCCUGACUGUCUUGGCAGCGAUCCUGGGAGAGGGUCUGUCACCUUCAAGACCUCCUCAUGCAAUGAAAAGCUUAGACAUUAGGCAGACUUGGGCUUCAAGCCCAGCUCUUCUAUUUACUAAUUGGGUAAACUUAGUUAAGUUCUUUACCUUCUUUGAGUUUCUGGAACAUUUUGUAGAAUUUAUUGAGGAUAAUAAUUUUAAAUUUGUCAGACUGAUAUGAAAAUAAAUAGAAAAUAUUAAGCACUCUACAGAGGACCAGACAUAGUAAGCACUCAGUAAAUGUUAGUUACUUCGUGGCUGGCUACUUUUAAUUGAUAGGAGAGGUUUACUAAGGAGAUUCUUAAAAUUUUGAUCUCAGUUGUCAGUAAUGAACCACCUUCUUUGUUACUGGGGCUAAGAGUCCCCAGUUUUAAUCUAGGACCAACCCCUCUCUGUGCUGUGCAAAAAAGUGUGUCAUAGUCCACAUUUCAUCCUCAUCUCUGUGGCUCAAGAUUUCUCACGACAGCAAACGUGAAGAAACUACAGUCAUCCCAAAUGAAAAGGUGGAGCAGACGUGGAGUCCAGCCAGGGACUGGCGAAGGGGGCCAGGGGCUUUGCAUGAGGUGAACUGGCUGGGAAACUAGAGGAGCAGGUGACUUCCAGGGUCGGGUCUGGGCUCUUGGUGGUGGUGUGAGGUAGUCUUUCUUAGUGGCUCAGAAGCAGCUAUCAUCUGCAGAUAAUCCAUCCCAUAAUCAGUGGUUGGUAUUUCCUAGGAGACGCUGUGGUGCUGGGGAUGUAGCUCAGUGGUACAUCACCUGCUUGUCACGCUUGAGGUCCUGGGUUCAACCCCCAAACUUCCCCCACCUUCCAAAAAAAUAUCCUGGAAAAUUAUCCAUGUUCUCGUCACUUAACCCUGCAGCUCUCACUCAGUGCUCACUAACACUUUGGAAGGGAACUGGUCACUUCAGUUAAUGACACAGUCAGGUGAUUUACCUGUCAGAUACAUCUUUCUUAAGUCGAGGGCUAGGGAGGAUGAACUGGCAAGAGCUCAUAUGGCUUUCAUGUCCCGAGCUGCUUUCCUGGGCCAAUUUUCAGCCUACCUUAGAAGCCAAACCUUGACUGCCUAUUUAUUAUUUCUGACGUCUGGAGACACUCAAGGCCAGCCUGGGAAUUUCUACUCUAAAGGGUGAGCUUAUAGGACCCCAGGCCUUCCUGGGUAGAGAUGGAUUUCCUGACCCUCUCACAGAGUCCAGACUGCUGUCUUCACGGCACAAAUAGUUGCUCAACAUGGAUCCACUGUUUGGGUGAGGAUGAGUUUCUUCGGGAUGGCUUUUAAAAUAUUGGGCACUUGUGCUUGUGGACAGCGGUAACCUGCAUCGUCACUGUCACCAUCACCAUCGUUGAGAUCAUCACCAACGGGAAACAUCUGUUAAACACUAUCCAAGGAGUUUUGCAGAGAAAGGUUAGACAACACCAUCUAAAUCGAUUUUUUGAGGGUAGUGACCAGUUCUUCACUGGCUUUUUAUUCCUAGGGGUUGGCACAGUGCCCGUCACACUGUAGAGGCACACAAAAUUGUCAAAUGAUGAUUUCUGAAAGGGUAAAAGGGCUACAAAGAGUAGGGGGCAAAUUUUACACCCCCAUUUUUCUCUUUUUAUCAAACCAGCUCCCCAACAUUCCCAUCCCACACCUGAAAGAGCUGUGUUCUCCAGUUUGAGAAAGGAGUGCAUUUGGUCUCUCAGAGCUACUACUUGGAUCCAUGAAGGGGAGCACAGGAGGUAGCAUGUGGUAAUGUUAAGAUUUUGGCUGCCUUGGAAUUUUCAGAGAGAAGAAUUCUUUCUAAUACUAGAAAUACAUGGAUAUCCAGCACCUGCUCUUUCUCUGAGAUCAGAACACCCACUAAAAUCAGGAGGAGUGGGGGUGCAGUAUGGGAACAAAGAAUGGGGGCCUUAGUGUAUUAAUUUGAAUUUCAUUCUGUCACUUCACUUUGAGGGUGAUUCUGAAAAGUGAAUGCAUUUAUAAGUCUAUUAAUAACCAUAUUUCUCUCCUAAUCAUUAUGAUUAAGUUGUUGGCACUGCCAGGUACCUGCAGCUUCCGUCACAAAGCCCAAACAGUUUUGCUCUCCCAUUUGACGGCAUGGAGAUGCUGACGGACGAGGCCAGGGCACAUGCUGCUCACUUUCCUUCCUCUGUCACUCAAUUUAAAUUCAUGCUGAAAACACAGAGUAAAGUUUAAAACAGUUUUCUAAAUCAUAAAAGUCUUCCUUCAGAUAAGGAACUGUAAGUCAGCUUUCCCUUUAUUGGUCUAUUCCCAAGGAGGGUUUUUAUGGUCUCAAUGUCACAGUUGGUUUUUCCACAUUUUCUCUCCUUCCAUCCUGGUGUCUUCUGGUCCAUUCACUCACUGCAGCCCGAAGCUCUUGGAUACUUUCAAUCUCUCUAUCGUAUUUACUGUGAAAUUGUUCCAGAUCUCUAGGGAUUAAGUCCAGCUCCUGUCUGUGGUAUUGCAGUCCACACCACGCAGGGCCAAAGGGCAGACCUUGGAGAAAGAAUGCCUAGUUUUAACUUGGUGUGGGGCAAAUUACCCACCUCACAAAGCCUUUAUUUCUUCCUAUGAGAAUGAGAAUCAUAAUAGAACUACAUUCUAAGUUAGUAAUGAACAUUAAAACAAUACUGGGAACUAUGUAAUGUUUUGAACAGCCAACAAUAAAAAAUUUAAAAAAAAAAGACUUAACAAAUAAAACAAUACUGGGACCCUAAAAGUGUCACUGUCAUGACAAAGAGAAAACAGUCCCCAAUGCCCAGGAUCUGGAUGGCCAUGUGGUCUUGGUAUUCUCCUGUUGAAACAAGCACUUCACAGGAAAUUCAAGAUGGCGGGCUAGAGGAAGCUGCAUUCCUAGUUGCUCUGUGGCUUGGGAUUUGCACAGCAGGAGUACUGCUUCUUAGACAGGUGAGUGAAAGAAGGAUGUCAUUAAAGCUCAAUAUUGGACUGUCAGAGUGUCUUAGAGACUCAGAAAUUUGGGUACAUUAAACAAGGAAGAAAGAGCACAUUGCAGCUAAGCUGAUUGCAACAGUGGUAGUGAUUCAGCAGAGAGGGAGGGAGAACACAGGGAGAAACACAAUGGACCAAUUUGGGAUGGUAAAACCUGUAUAUCAGAAAAGCAGCUUGAAUUUAGCUGAUCCAGAAGCUUCACUGUGCACUGGUGCUUGAAAAGUGCUUUGUAUUUCUCAGCUGGUUGAGAGGAGGUGAAGCCAUCUUGAAGUACUCACACUGGGGCUGCUGCUGUGGAGCCAGGAGGUCACAGAAAAUACUGCCAUACUGUCCCUGCAAGCCCCUACUGUGUGACCUAGAGUGUACCUAGCAGAACAUUAGUGAAACAGGCACAGAGAAGAUUGCACCCACAGAAUUCAAAAAAGUGUAGGAGUUGGAAAAGUGUAGGAGAGCCCAACUCGCUUCUCCUUUGAAUCAGUCAGCUCACGCGAGCAGCUAAAGAGGGUCUAGAAUAUGAAGAGGCAGGUGUGAACACAUUCAGGGACUAAGCAGGGGAAGGCUGUGUUUGUGGGCAGCAAAGAGUGUGGAUGAUUGACCCCCCUAUCCCAUGAGUAGAAUUCUUAGAAGGAUCUCAUUAAAACUCAAUGUUGGACUGUCAGAGUGGCUUAGAAGGCUCUGAAAUCUAGAUUCUGACUGAGACAGACAACUGCCAGGGCCUAAGGGUGUGUUAAUCAAUUCUCUCUACAGCAGAAACCACCCAACAAAGCCCCUGAGGCCUAAUUAGACCUAAACCUCAGCCUCCAGGACUCCAUUGGUAGAACUCUGCUGCAACCCCACCCUAGGAGGACAGUGAUCUGGUCUGUGCAGACAAAGCUCCAACUGAAAGUACUUUCCAUCCCAUCAUACCACAUAAUGGUGAGAAGGAAAGCUGAGAGCUAUCUCAACCAGCUCCAGUCUUAGGCCACUACAAUUGGCAGCUUGGUGAGCAACACAAAAAGCCAAAGAAGAAAUGGAAGGAAGAACAGUUGGGCUUAGGCAGUGACCAUCCAGGCUCAUCAACUGUUUUAACCAUAACCACCUCAGUGGAGAUGAUUCUUUCAUUUUUCAUUAAGAAUCUUUUUUUCCAUUUUUAUUUUUGGUGUGCUUGCUGUUCUUGUUUGUUUGUGGACACAUACACACACACACACUUGUUUAUUUUUUCCCAUUUUAAAUGUAGGUAUUUUUCUUUGCCUUGUUUUUUGAGGAUUAGGUUUUGG
Molecule: long non-coding RNA, 24252 nt
Filed under: Marmota monax (woodchuck)
Lineage: Eukaryota; Metazoa; Chordata; Mammalia; Rodentia; Sciuridae
Rfam family: tRNA (bases 20800-20872)
Source: RNAcentral